UCCUUGAUAGCUCAGUUGGUAAAGAAUCUGCCUGCAAAGCAGGAGACCUGGGUUCAAUCCCUGGGUUGGGAA
Molecule: transfer RNA, 72 nt
Filed under: Bos taurus (domestic cattle)
Lineage: Eukaryota; Metazoa; Chordata; Mammalia; Artiodactyla; Bovidae
Also listed under: 2 other names
Rfam family: tRNA
About the family: Transfer RNA (tRNA) molecules are approximately 80 nucleotides in length. Their secondary structure includes four short double-helical elements and three loops (D, anti-codon, and T loops).
Source: Rfam by way of RNAcentral